UUUAAAACAUCAUCUAAUUCUAUGCUAUGUUUUUAUAGCCCUUUUCAAUUAUUUAAAGUAUAUCUUUCUUCCAUCAUUAAAAUAACCUACAAUAUAUGCUUAGUAUUUUUUAAAGUACUAAUUUCCUAAACUUGUAUUCAUUUCCGCCCCUCUAACUGAUUUUAUCACUAUAAUUAAGCCUUAUUAGUGUUUUCCGUCGUAUAUACGUGGGAGACAUCCUAAUGCACACAUUCAAGUGGUUUUAUCACAACUUGUGUUCUAUUAAACGCUUGAAUGCCUCUUUGCCUGGAGGGGCGUUGACACAGCAAAGUUUCCUUAGCCCCCCACCCCCCGCCCAAAAAAAGAAAACGCCUCCUCAAUUAACUCCCUCCUCCCGCCCUCCUCCUCUCCUUCCUCGGGGGACUGCUCAAUUCAAAUACAGCAAAAUCAACUUUUCCACUUACCUCAAUGGUGGUGCGUUCAAGGGCCUCACCUCUCGCUGCUCAAUUCCAGUUGUGAAGUGGAUGACACUCAGUGAUGAUUUGCACUAUUUAUGCACAAAAAUAGAGAGAGAGAGAGAGAGAGAGAGAGAGAGAGAGAGAGAGAGAGAGAGAGAGAGAGAGAGAGAGAGAGAGAGAGAGAGAGAGAGAGAGAGAGAGAGAGAGAGAGAGAGAGAGAGAGAGAGAGAGAGCAAGAGAGGGGAAAAGACAGACUUUUAGGAGCCAAUGGAAAGGAGGGAACAGAACACUAUAAUUUGGUCACGUGCUACAAUGCUAACUUUUCUUCUGUACUGUUUUUUUUUUUUGUUAUAUAUUUUUAUAUAUUGAUCAUUGCCAUUCAUACUUUUUUUUUAUCAGAUUCUGAUGCCCUUCCCUCCUUCUUAUCAAUGAGGGGGCGCAAUUCCAUUUACAAGUACUAAUGAUUACAAAAUAAAAAAAGAUUUAGUGUCGCAAUUUUAUAAUGCACAUGACGCACAUAGCAGAAACUGCCACUGCUCCUUCUUGACAGGGAAAGAGGCACGUCAUUAAUGCCAGCAAAAAAGUAUAAUUCAUCUCCUUUCCUUUCCAAAAACAGCCUCCACCAAAGAGCCGUCCUCCCUCCUGCUCCGUCAGCCAUCUUGUCAGCUCCCCGCUGAGCGCUUUCAUCUUCAGCUGUAUUAUAUAUAAUUCAUGGAGGCAAAGAUAUCUCCCGGCCCCCAGGGGGGAGCAUUUUACAGCUAAACGGGCGUCCGCGCUUGUCAAAGGAAAGUUUACCGAUUGGGGGUUCGCAUUUCUUGUCCCUGCUGCUAGCUCGUUAACCCCCCACUUUCCAGUCCGGACCAAGCAAGGAGGUUUCAUACCUGGAAGCUGGUCAGCAAGGACCAGCCCCUACUGGGAGCUCCGGAGCUCCCACUGGGCUUGGGGAGGAGGCGAGGCGGGCCAAACAAAAACACAAGCAGCCAUCCGCACGAAAGGUCUAUUGGGCCACCGAACCAAGGACUUUAAUCCCCAACUGACCAACAAUGCAAAAAGCCAGCCUUUGAACAGCCGACAACCCCCCCCCCCCCCCAUCCGCCUCCUCCUUUACCAAUUGCUUCGCUGCUGGAAGGCUCCAACACGGCUCCAAACGUCGGGAAAAGUAGCUGCUCUUCCUCCGUCGUCUCUUUUGAGGUAUCACACAAAGCAAAUUAAGUGCGUGAAAGAGCAUUUCAGGGCCGCACCGGGGUUCCGCUAAAGCUCCGGGUCCGAGGUCACCUGAGAUACGGUCACCAAAUAUUUGAAGGUGUCGAGCAAACCGCCACAUAAACAUAAGUAACAUUUUUAACCGUGGGUAAAAAAUGGCGGUUUGGUUUUUGAGCCUUGACAAAAUGUUUUUAUUGCGGUGUCCCUCAGGAGUCAAUUCUAAGUCCCCUUCUGUUUUCAGUAUUCCUAUUUCCUACUUUUCGCUGAAUACUUACUCGGACUAGUUUUCCUUGAGUCAUAUUGGAAAGUAGCAACAGUCAUUUGAGUCAAGUUUUUGUUUUUUCUACUCAAAUCUGGAACCAAUUAAUCCGAACCAGUGCAAGUCACCACCCAAUUAAGUUUAGUGUGUUUCACCACCUUGGAUUGUUUCUUCAUCAUCUUGACAGUUGUCCAAAUUGAGUAUAAAAUUCUGUUUGUGUGUAUGUUUGUGUGACAUUCUGACAAAAUAGGGGUUUUGUGGUCAUGAAUACUAAUGACAGCAAUUUGUCGCCUGAGCUAAUUUUCCUGUAAUUUUGCUGAUUAUCUGUCAACAAUUUGCCAGCAUUGCUGUCUGACAAUUACCGCGCACAAUGGCCGCUCCAAGACUUUCAACCUCACCACCCAAAAUGUGGACAAAGACAAACCAAUAACAAAAUGCUUUUUUUUUUUUAACAUUAAGCGCGCUGUCUCAAUGCUCCCUCAUGCCAAAACGCUUGCUAAUCACAGCCACCAAUAUUUUCCAUAGCAGGCAAUUAGCAUCUCGCUUUCAUGUGGCAAAAUGGCUGAGGAGUGUCAGCACAGUCGCAAAACACGCAGCGAGAAUAAAAGAGCAAUUAAGACGUGGGGUGAGCAGAGGACGCAAGACGAGGCGGUCUGCUGCCGUGUGAUUUGCGGCUUGCCCGGCCCGGUAAUUAGCCUCGUCAUUGUGAGAUAAUGGACUUGGCCCCUUUUCCCGCUUCUGCCGACUCGGCCCGCGAGGAGGUUGAAGGCCGCAAAUGUGCUGCUUAACAUCUGACUGGAGACCUGCCGGGUUUUAAACAAAUAGAUAUUUGUGGGUCAAAUAUCGAUCUCACAAUGUACCAUCAGUUACUGACUACUUGGUUAGUUGAAUCUCACUUAGUUAGAUUUCCGCUCUUGUGGACCUAUCAACUUUUUUAGAGACGCCGUAAUCUGUGAACCCUGAAUCAUAAUCUUUGGCUAAAUCUAUGUAAUACGGGUAAUUCGAUGAAGCAGUAUUUUCCUGCAGAGAGGCGAAAUCCUGUUGACUAUUCAAGGAUUGAAUCAUCCAACGGUAAUGCCAUUAGACCAGUGCCACGGAUUCCUGGGCAAAUGCUGUUUAAUUGCCAGUAACCAGCCAUUGUCUGGUGACGGCUACACACUAUGCAAGUGGCGUCGACGACGGGAUGGGGGGGGGCGUGUGAAAAAGAUGGCCCCCUUGUCUUGAGCCAAUCGCCAUUGAGAGACAGAUUUAUGCCCGGGCUGGAAAGUAGCAGAGGCACUGGCUUAACCAAAGUCUUCAAGAGUCUAAACGCAGAGUUACUCUCAGGCCUUUUAUCACAGGAUUUGCGCGACAAUGCGAUUUGGAAUGGGGGGGGUUGUCUAUUGAAGAUUUUUUUUUUGCGAGGAUCAAGCCUUGUCGCUCACGUUUAUUAGCGAACAACGCGAUUGUUGCCGUUGUAAUCGCCAUGUUUAUAUUUGGCUUAAAGUGGAGAAAUCGCUCGGUCCAAUGAAUGAAAGAGACUUGGAUGUUUUUGUCAAUAAAAGUGAUGGCCGCUUUUUGCCGGACAAUUGAAACGGGGGCAAUUUAAUGAGAGUUUGAAAUCGGAGGCCCGCAGUGGAGGACGCAGAUUGGAAGUGAGAGGUGUGUCGGGCCUUCAUUGUGACGGGCUGCCCGGGAGACGGGCGGCUCUGCCAGGACAGACACUGACUGGCUUUGACAGCGCAAAGAACCUUUUCUCUGUGCUCUUUUUAAUUUCCCCCCCCAAAAAAAGUCUUUUUUUUAUUUUUUAUUAUGAAGAACCCCACCAGUCCAUUCACACUCCCAUUGCUUCUGCUUGGUUCUUUUUGCUCCACUGGGAUUUAGUUAAAAAAAAC
Long non-coding RNA from Syngnathus typhle (broad-nosed pipefish), 3773 nucleotides. RefSeq lists it as uncharacterized. NCBI's taxonomy places the organism in Eukaryota, Metazoa, Chordata, Actinopteri, Syngnathiformes, Syngnathidae. The record is from RefSeq and is a predicted model, not a curated record. The transcript has 3 exons.